AGCCACACCCGUAUCUUCCAAGUGCCAAGUGAAAUGAUGGAUGACGUCAUUCAGGAGCGAAUAGAUCAAGUGAGACGGAGCGUCUCUCAUCUCAGGUGUGACUCCUCCAGUGAUCCAUGCUACAGAAAUUCUUGCUCAGAAUGCUAAGGUUGAAGGCCUCCAGAGUCGAUGAAUAGCCUGUGUCCAAUGAGUGUCCAUCUCAUGUUUGACCUGAAGGGUGACCAGACUUGAACAGAGAGACUCUAAAUUCUGAGCCCUUGGUUCCCACCAUGGCAAUGCCGAAAACUUCUUGCCGAAGUGCUAAUAAAGAGACAUCUUAUUUACCAACC
RNAcentral lists this long non-coding RNA (329 nucleotides) under Rattus norvegicus (Norway rat). RNAcentral describes it as "long non-coding RNA NONRATT027532". Lineage: Eukaryota; Metazoa; Chordata; Mammalia; Rodentia; Muridae. The record is from RNAcentral.